GACGAACGCUGGCGGCGUGCCUAACACAUGCAAGUCGAACGAGCGAGCGAGAAGCUUCCUUUUCUGACGUUAGCCGCACAGGUGUGUGUCACGCGUGGAUCACGUCCCUAUGAGGCUGACAUCAGUUCGGAAAAACUGAUCUUAUCCCAUAUACUCUCUUGACCCGCAUGGUUCAAGAGUGAAAGACGGACUUGCUGUCACUUAUAGUUGCAUCCGCGCUGCAUUAGCUAGUUGGUAAGGUAACGGCUUACCAAGGCAACGAUGCAUAGCCGACCUGAGAGGGUGGUCGGCCACACUGGAAGUGAGACAGGGUCCAGACACCGACGCGAGGCAGCAGCAGGGAAUCCUACGCAAGGAGGCAAUGCCGGAUGGAGCAACGCGGCGUGAGUGAUGAAGGUCUUCGGAUGGUAGAACGCUGUUAUUCGGGAAGAAGAAAUGUGUAAUUGAUUGGGCAGAUCUUGACGGUACCCAACCAGAAAGCCACGGCUAACUACGUG
RNAcentral lists this ribosomal RNA (497 nucleotides) under uncultured bacterium. RNAcentral describes it as "partial 16S ribosomal RNA". It matches the Rfam family "Bacterial small subunit ribosomal RNA", at positions 28 to 507 of the family's 1533-position model. The record is from RNAcentral.